RNAcentral lists this ribosomal RNA (1092 nucleotides) under Azospirillum sp. 47_25. RNAcentral describes it as "bacterial LSU rRNA". It matches the Rfam family "Bacterial large subunit ribosomal RNA", at positions 1 to 1148 of the family's 2925-position model. Lineage: Bacteria; Pseudomonadati; Pseudomonadota; Alphaproteobacteria; Rhodospirillales; Azospirillaceae. The record is from RNAcentral.
AAUCAAGCGAUAGGUAAGGGCAUUUGGUGAAUGCCUUGGCACUCAGAGGCGAAGAAGGACGUAAUACACUGCGAAAAGUCACGGGGAGUUGUGAAUAAGCAUUGAUCCGUGAAUGUCCGAAUGGGGAAACCCACAGAGCAAUCUGUAUCGUAACAUGAAUACAUAGUGUUGCGAAGCGAACGCAGGGAACUGAAACAUCUAAGUACCUGUAGGAAAGGAAAUCAACCGAGACUCCGAAAGUAGUGGCGAGCGAAAUCGGACCAGCCGAUGGAUUUGAUUGUAAGAACUAGAACAGCGUGGGAAAGCUGACCGAAGAUGGUGAUAGUCCAGUAUAGGUAGAAAGCAAUUAAGUUCUUGAGUAGGGCGGAGCACGAGAAAUUCUGUCUGAAAAUGGGGAGACCACUCUCCAAGGCUAAGUACUACUGAGUGACCGAUAGUGAACAAGUACCGUGAGGGAAAGGUGAAAAGCACCCCUAUAAGGGGAGUGAAAAAGAACCUGAAACCGGAUGCCUACAAGCAGUCGGAGGAGCAUUAGGCUCUGACGGCGUACCUUUUGUAUAAUGGGUCAGCGACUUAAUUUAUGUAGCAAGCUUAAGCCGAUAGGUGUAGGCGCAGCGAAAGCGAGUGUUAAUAGCGCGUUAAGUUACAUGGAUUAGACCCGAAACCGAGUGAUCUAGCCAUGAUCAGGUUGAAGGUUGGGUAACACCAACUGGAGGACCGAACCCACUCCCGUUGAAAAGGUAGGGGAUGAAUUGUGGCUAGGGGUGAAAGGCCAAUCAAACUCGGAAAUAGCUGGUUCUCCGCGAAAACUAUUUAGGUAGUGCGGCAAGCGGACACGUUGAGGGGUAGAGCACUGAAAGAGCUAAGGGGGAGCGAUCCUUACUAAACUUUAUCAAACUCCGAAUACUCAACAGUGAUACUCACCAGACAGACAGUAGGUGCUAAGGUCUAUUGUCGAGAGGGAAAGAGCCCAGACCGCCAAUUAAGGUCCCAAAAUUAUGGCUAAGUGGUAAAGGAAGUGAAUUGUCCAAAACAGUCAGGAGGUUGGCUUAGAAGCAGCCAUCCUUUAAAGAAAGCGUAAUAGCUCACUGA